This 301-nucleotide ribosomal RNA is filed under the name uncultured bacterium. RNAcentral describes it as "partial 16S ribosomal RNA". It matches the Rfam family "Bacterial small subunit ribosomal RNA", at positions 509 to 807 of the family's 1533-position model. The record is from RNAcentral.
CAGCAGCCGCGGUAAUACGUAGGUGGCAAGCGUUGUUCGGAAUUAUUGGGCGUAAAGGGUGCGUAGGCGGUUUGGUAAGUCUUGUGUGAAAUCUUCGGGCUCAACCCGAAGCCUGCACGAGAAACUGCCGGGCUUGAGUAUGGGAGAGGUGAGUGGAAUUUCCGGUGUAGCGGUGAAAUGCGUAGAUAUCGGAAGGAACACCUGUGGCGAAAGCGGCUCACUGGACCAUUACUGACGCUGAUGCACGAAAGCGUGGGGAGCAAACAGGAUUAGAUACCCCAGUAGUCCCUGUCUCUUAUAC